Molecule: ribosomal RNA, 1558 nt
Filed under: Salmonella enterica subsp. enterica serovar Heidelberg
Lineage: Bacteria; Pseudomonadati; Pseudomonadota; Gammaproteobacteria; Enterobacterales; Enterobacteriaceae
Description: bacterial LSU rRNA
Rfam family: Bacterial large subunit ribosomal RNA
Source: RNAcentral
UGCUGGAGGUAUCAGAAGUGCGAAUGCUGACAUAAGUAACGAUAAAGCGGGUGAAAAGCCCGCUCGCCGGAAGACCAAGGGUUCCUGUCCAACGUUAAUCGGGGCAGGGUGAGUCGACCCCUAAGGCGAGGCCGAAAGGCGUAGUCGAUGGGAAACGGGUUAAUAUUCCCGUACUUGGUGUUACUGCGAAGGGGGGACGGAGAAGGCUAUGUUGGCCGGGCGACGGUUGUCCCGGUUUAAGCGUGUAGGUGUGUGUUCCAGGUAAAUCCGGUUCACUUUAACACUGAGGCGUGACGACGAGGCACUACGGUGCUGAAGCAACAAAUGCCCUGCUUCCAGGAAAAGCCUCUAAGCAUCAGGUAACAUCAAAUCGUACCCCAAACCGACACAGGUGGUCAGGUAGAGAAUACCAAGGCGCUUGAGAGAACUCGGGUGAAGGAACUAGGCAAAAUGGUGCCGUAACUUCGGGAGAAGGCACGCUGACACGUAGGUGAAGUGAUUUACUCACGGAGCUGAAGUCAGUCGAAGAUACCAGCUGGCUGCAACUGUUUAUUAAAAACACAGCACUGUGCAAACACGAAAGUGGACGUAUACGGUGUGACGCCUGCCCGGUGCCGGAAGGUUAAUUGAUGGGGUCAGCGCAAGCGAAGCUCCUGAUCGAAGCCCCGGUAAACGGCGGCCGUAACUAUAACGGUCCUAAGGUAGCGAAAUUCCUUGUCGGGUAAGUUCCGACCUGCACGAAUGGCGUAAUGAUGGCCAGGCUGUCUCCACCCGAGACUCAGUGAAAUUGAACUCGCUGUGAAGAUGCAGUGUACCCGCGGCAAGACGGAAAGACCCCGUGAACCUUUACUAUAGCUUGACACUGAACAUUGAGCCUUGAUGUGUAGGAUAGGUGGGAGGCUUUGAAGCGUGGACGCCAGUCUGCGUGGAGCCAACCUUGAAAUACCACCCUUUAAUGUUUGAUGUUCUAACGUGGACCCGUGAUCCGGGUUGCGGACAGUGUCUGGUGGGUAGUUUGACUGGGGCGGUCUCCUCCUAAAGAGUAACGGAGGAGCACGAAGGUUGGCUAAUCCUGGUCGGACAUCAGGAGGUUAGUGCAAUGGCAUAAGCCAGCUUGACUGCGAGCGUGACGGCGCGAGCAGGUGCGAAAGCAGGUCAUAGUGAUCCGGUGGUUCUGAAUGGAAGGGCCAUCGCUCAACGGAUAAAAGGUACUCCGGGGAUAACAGGCUGAUACCGCCCAAGAGUUCAUAUCGACGGCGGUGUUUGGCACCUCGAUGUCGGCUCAUCACAUCCUGGGGCUGAAGUAGGUCCCAAGGGUAUGGCUGUUCGCCAUUUAAAGUGGUACGCGAGCUGGGUUUAGAACGUCGUGAGACAGUUCGGUCCCUAUCUGCCGUGGGCGCUGGAGAACUGAGGGGGGCUGCUCCUAGUACGAGAGGACCGGAGUGGACGCAUCACUGGUGUUCGGGUUGUCAUGCCAAUGGCACUGCCCGGUAGCUAAAUGCGGAAGAGAUAAGUGCUGAAAGCAUCUAAGCACGAAACUUGCCCCGAGAUGAGUUCU